GGAGAGAUGGCUCAGAGGUUAAGAGCACUGGCUGCCUUCCAGAGGUCCUGAGUUCAAUUCCCAGCAACCACA
This 72-nucleotide transfer RNA is filed under the name Mus musculus (house mouse). RNAcentral's name for it is "tRNA-Gly". Lineage: Eukaryota; Metazoa; Chordata; Mammalia; Rodentia; Muridae. The record is from RNAcentral.